AUACUCUUUUAGUUUUGCCAUCCAUAGGCAGC
RNAcentral lists this non-coding RNA (32 nucleotides) under Homo sapiens (human). Lineage: Eukaryota; Metazoa; Chordata; Mammalia; Primates; Hominidae. The record is from RNAcentral.